Molecule: ribosomal RNA, 436 nt
Filed under: uncultured bacterium
Lineage: Bacteria
Description: SSU rRNA
Rfam family: Bacterial small subunit ribosomal RNA
Source: RNAcentral
AGAAUGAACGCUAGCGAUAUGCUUAACACAUGCAAGUUGAACGUUGUUUUCGAAUCAGAAUGAGAACAAAGUAGCGAACGGGUGCGUAACACGUGGGAAUCUGCCGAACAGUUUGGGCCAAAUCCCGAAUGAAUAAAAGCUAAAAAGCGCUGUUUGAUGAGCCCACGUAGUAUUAGGUAGUUGGUUAGGUAAAAGCUGACCAAGCCUACGAUGCUUAGCUGGUCUUUUCGGAUGAUCAGCCACACUGGGACUGAGACACGGCCCAGACUCCUACGGGAGGCAGCAGUGGGGAAUCUUGGACAAUGGGCGAAAGCCUGAUCCGGCAAUAUGGCGUGAGUGAAGAAGGGCAACGCAGCUUGUAAAGCUCUUUCAUCGAGUGUGCGAUUGUGACAAGACUCGAAUAAGAAGCCCCGGCUAACUCCGUGCCAGCAGCCGC